RNAcentral lists this unclassified non-coding RNA (491 nucleotides) under Hevea brasiliensis (rubber tree). The record is from RNAcentral. Lineage: Eukaryota; Viridiplantae; Streptophyta; Magnoliopsida; Malpighiales; Euphorbiaceae.
CAAUUCAGUUUGAGAAGGUUUGUUGCUUGUUCCUUAAGUUGACUAUUACAAUUACUUUUCAUAUAUAGUAGAAGCUUUAAGCUGCAUAUUCAUUAGUUAAGCCAUUGGCUUUUGAAUGUCAGUAUCAAAUAGAUUUCUGCUUGAUUAGGUUCAUUGUAUUUAUGGUUGAACUUGGGUCAUUUUGUUAGUUAUCUGUUGUUUCAUGGACGUUUUCAUAUUCCUGACAAGAAAGACAUGACGCCUUCCUUACUAAUGUGUUUAGUCUUUAAUGGUUUUAGGUACAAUCAGCUGGGUAUAUUAGAGUUUUGGUAAUAACAGUUAAUACACAUUCUUUAGGGUGAGAUAGUUCUCUUUCCAUAUUUAAAGAAUAUUACUAGACUAGCAAAGCAAGUUUAUGUGUGGUGACAAUGCCUGACUUUUUCCCGAAAGUGGAUCUUAAACUGGCAUUGCAAAAUUUUUUAGUAUUAUUUGUUGUGCUUAGUGUUCUUGAU